UACGUAGGGGGCUAGCGUUGUCCGGAAUUACUGGGCGUAAAGCGUGCGCAGGCGGUUUCGCAAGUCAGAUGUGAAAUCCCCGGGCUCAACCUGGGAACUGCAUUUGAAACUACGAGGCUAGAGUGUGUCAGAGGGGGGUAGAAUUCCACGUGUAGCAGUGAAAUGCGUAGAGAUGUGGAGGAAUACCGAUGGCGAAGGCAGCCCCCUGGGAUAACACUGACGCUCAUGCACGAAAGCGUGGGGAGCAAACAGG
This 253-nucleotide ribosomal RNA is filed under the name uncultured bacterium. RNAcentral describes it as "partial 16S ribosomal RNA". It matches the Rfam family "Bacterial small subunit ribosomal RNA", at positions 524 to 776 of the family's 1533-position model. The record is from RNAcentral.